CAUACCUAUACGUUGCCUCGGCGGAUCAGCCCGCGCCCUGUAAAAAGGGACGGCCCGCCCGAGGACCCUAAACUCUGUUUUUAGUGGAACUUCUGAGUAAAACAAACAAAUAAAUCAAAACUUUCAACAACGGAUCUCUUGGUUCUGGCAUCGAUGAAGAACGCAGCAAAAUGCGAUAAGUAAUGUGAAUUGCAGAAUUCAGUGAAUCAUCGAAUCUUUGAACGCACAUUGCGCCCGCCAGUAUUCUGGCGGGCAUGCCUGUUCGAGCGUCAUUUCAACCCUCAAGCUCAGCUUGGUGUUGGGACUCGCGGUAACCCGCGUUCCCCAAAUCGAUUGGCGGUCACGUCGAGCUUCCAUAGCGUAGUAAUCAUACACCUCGUUACUGGUAAUCGUCGCGGCCACGCCGUAAAACCCCAACUUCUGAAUGUUGACCUCGGAUCAGGUAGGAAUACCCGCUGAACUUAAGCAUAU
RNAcentral lists this ribosomal RNA (471 nucleotides) under Fusarium equiseti. RNAcentral describes it as "eukaryotic LSU rRNA". The stretch from base 119 to 272 matches the Rfam family "5.8S ribosomal RNA". Lineage: Eukaryota; Fungi; Ascomycota; Sordariomycetes; Hypocreales; Nectriaceae. The record is from RNAcentral.